GAUGAACGCUGGCGGCGUGCCUAAUACAUGCAAGUCGCGCGAAGCGGGGCCGGGUGAGUAACACGUGGAUAACCUCCUAUAAGACUGGGAUACAUUCGGGAAACCGGAGCUAAACCGGAUGCUUACAGAUGGAUCCUCGCUGCAUUAGCUAGUUGGUAAGGUACAGGCUUACCAGGGACACGAUGCAUAGCCGUCCGGAGAGGGGGAUCGGCCACACUGGAACUGAGACACGGUCCAGACUCCUACGGGAGGCAGCAGGAGGGAAUAUUCCGCAAUGGGCGAAAGCCUGACGGAGCAACGCCGCGUGUGUGAUGAAGGUCUUCGGAUCGUAAAACUCUGUUAUUAGGGAAGCGGUACCUAAUCAGAAAGCCACGGCUAACUACGUGCCAGCAGCCGCGGUAAUAC
Molecule: ribosomal RNA, 405 nt
Filed under: uncultured bacterium
Lineage: Bacteria
Description: partial 16S ribosomal RNA
Rfam family: Bacterial small subunit ribosomal RNA
Source: RNAcentral